RNAcentral lists this long non-coding RNA (1504 nucleotides) under Gossypium barbadense (sea-island cotton). RNAcentral's name for it is "long non-coding RNA (GBAR_LNC005863)". Lineage: Eukaryota; Viridiplantae; Streptophyta; Magnoliopsida; Malvales; Malvaceae. The record is from RNAcentral.
ACAGCUCCAAGAUCUUUGCAAGUUGCAGUGAUCUCCGGAUCAAUGGUUUCCAUGACGGCAUCAUUAGCAGCCUUUGACAGAAUCUGUUAAGAAUGUGAUAUCAAUAUAGUUUUUAAACUACUUCAAACCCGAAAUAUAGAUGGAUAUAAAAACUUACCAGAUGAUGAAGACUGGAUUCAUUGUCUACAGGUUUCCUUCCAGUUAGUAACUCAAGUAGAACAAUCCCAUAGCUGUAAACAUCAGAUUUCUCAGUCAAGCGAGAAGUGCGAGCAUAUUCAGGGUCUAUAUAACCAAUGGUGCCCAUUACGUAUGUAGAAGUGUGAGACUUUGAUAUGCAUAAGCUUUUAGCAAUGCCAAAAUCAGUAAGAUGAGCCUCUAAAUCCUUGUCCAACAAAAUAUUUGAUGACUUCACAUCCCUGUGGAUGAUUCGUGGACUACAGUCAUGAUGUAAAUACGCUAACCCUUGUGCAGCUCCCAGUGCAAUCUUCAAUCGAAUGGUCCAACUGAGAACUUUCUUCUUGGUAGAAACUGCAAGAAAAGAACAAACUUGUAAUUCAUGACGCGUAAAUGAGCAUAGAGAGAAGCUAAAGAAACACCAAAACAUAUUCUAACACAUGGAACUGGUUUGUUCUUAGAAACAAACUUACCAUGGAGGAGAUCCCAGAGACUGCCAUUUUCCAUAUAGUCAUAGAAGAGAAGGUUCCGAGACGGGGAGAGAGAAUACCCUUGAAGGCUGACCAGAUUUCGGUGCUUAAUACUCCCAAUUGUCUCGAGUUCCGUCUCGAAUUCCUUCAAGCAUUGUGGAUAGUGAGAGUAGAGCCUCUUGAUGGCAACUGGCCUACAAUUCUUAAGAACACAUUUGUAGACCGUGCUUGAUGCACCACUACCAAUUAUAUACUUCUCACUCAGAUUCUCAGUCACCCUCAUAAUGUCCUCGUAUACAUGAAGUGCCAUAUUCAUGUGAAGGAUCACCAAUUUCGGUCUUGAGUAAGUAACUGCCGUCAAGAAGUCCAUGAAUCAAUAACAAGGGCCAUAAAUUUCAAUAAGGUAUCUUUAAGAAAAAGGAACAAAAACUGACUAACAGUUCGCAAUAGGUAUUUUUAUGUACUAUGUACUCCAAAUCAAGAGGACUUCAUAGGUUUACACAUAAAAGGAGAAGGCAGGGCACCUGGCUUAUCCAGUGAUCCAUCUGGAAAAGGUGUAGGAUUGUGCGGGCGACAUGCGGCAAUCAAGAUCAUUAGAAGAAUCACAAGAGCACCAAGUGCAAUGCCGAGGAUUGCAGCUUUAGAGAUUGAAACUGCAUAGACAAGUGAGCAAAACAAAAUGAAUAAUCAACCAAAGACAACCAACAGAUUAAACAUACCAAGAAAACAUUGACCAACUACAAUAGGGAAUGGUAGUUGCCAAGAACUCCAUGUGUAGGUGCCAAAACAAACGAUGAGGUGGUAGCUCAUCGUUUUGAUAUCCGUUUUCUAGUCCUAAUGCCUUUUCAGUUUCUAACUUU